CAGAGUCGUAAAACACUCCCAAACCCUUUGCAAACGUACCCGUUUUGUUGCUUCGGCAGGCGAUCCCAGGGCGGGAUCGUGGCCGCGAGGCGCCUGCCGAAGAACAACCCCAAACUCUUAGUCUCAGUGGUCUUCAGAGUAUACAAAACAAAAUAAGUCA
Molecule: unclassified non-coding RNA, 160 nt
Filed under: uncultured Ascomycota
Lineage: Eukaryota; Fungi; Ascomycota
Description: sequence contains ITS1
Source: RNAcentral